This 440-nucleotide ribosomal RNA is filed under the name uncultured bacterium. RNAcentral describes it as "bacterial SSU rRNA". It matches the Rfam family "Bacterial small subunit ribosomal RNA", at positions 338 to 788 of the family's 1533-position model. The record is from RNAcentral.
CCUACGGGAGGCAGCAGUGGGGAAUAUUGCGCAAUGGGCGAAAGCCUGACGCAGCAACGCCGCGUGAGGGAUGACGGCCUUCGGGUUGUAAACCUCUUUCAGCGCCGACGAAGCCUUCGGGUGACUGUAGGCGCAGAAGAAGCACCGGCUAACUACGUGCCAGCAGCCGCGGUAAUACGUAGGGUGCGAGCGUUGUCCGGAAUUAUUGGGCGUAAAGGGCUCGUAGGCGGCCUGUCGCGUCUGCUGUGAAAGCCCAGGGCUUAACCCUGGGUCUGCAGUGGAUACGGGCAGGCUCGAGUCCGGCAGGGGAGACUGGAAUUCCUGGUGUAGCGGUGAAAUGCGCAGAUAUCAGGAGGAACACCGGUGGCGAAGGCGGGUCUCUGGGCCGGUACUGACGCUGAGGAGCGAAAGCGUGGGGAGCGAACAGGAUUAGAUACCCU